UUAACAGUCCUGGAGAUUCACCGAUAAGGUCAAGCACUGACAAUCCUAGCUUCCCCCCACUGCCCUGCCAAUGAGUCUCAACCCUUACGCAGAGGGACUAUUUAUAAGGAAUGAGGGGGCGGGUCAGUCUUCAUGCCCAUUUGGUCCUUAGCCUCU
This 156-nucleotide small RNA is filed under the name Chrysemys picta bellii (western painted turtle). Its description in RNAcentral is "TUC338 (ENSCPBG00000026583.1)". Lineage: Eukaryota; Metazoa; Chordata; Testudines; Emydidae. The record is from RNAcentral.